This 503-nucleotide ribosomal RNA is filed under the name Bactrocera opiliae. Its description in RNAcentral is "partial large subunit ribosomal RNA". It matches the Rfam family "Bacterial large subunit ribosomal RNA", at positions 1799 to 2568 of the family's 2925-position model. Lineage: Eukaryota; Metazoa; Arthropoda; Insecta; Diptera; Tephritidae. The record is from RNAcentral.
CCUGUUUAACAAAAACAUGUCUUUUUGAGUUAUUUUUAAAGUCUGACCUGCCCACUGAAGUUAUUUAAAUGGCCGCAGUAUUCUAACUGUGCAAAGGUAGCAUAAUCAUUAGUCUUUUAAUUGAAGGCUGGUAUGAACGGUUGGACGAGGUAUAAGCUGUUUCAUAUAAAUUUAUAGUAGAAUUUUAUAUUUUAGUCAAAAAGCUAAAAUUUAAUUAAAAGACGAGAAGACCCUAUAAAUCUUUAUACUUUACAUUGUUUAAAUUUUUUAGAUUAAUUUUAUUUUUAUAAUUUAAAGUAUUUUGUUGGGGUGAUAUUAAAAUUUAAUGAACUUUUAAUUAUUUAAAAUCAUUAAUUUAUGAGUUAUUGAUCCAUUAGUAGUGAUUAUAAGAUUAAGUUACUUUAGGGAUAACAGCGUAAUUUUUUUGGAGAGUUCAUAUCGAUAAAAAAGUUUGCGACCUCGAUGUUGGAUUAAGAUAUAUUUUUAGGUGUAGCCGCUUAAAU